AUAAGAACAGCCCUCUGCUGGAUCAGGCCCAAGUAGGCCCAUCUAGUCCAGCAUCCUGUUUUACACAGUGGCCCACAAGAUGCCACUGGAAGCCACAGGCAGGAGUUGAGGGCAUGCCCUCUCUCCUUACUCCCCUGCAACUGGGACUCAGAGGCAUCAGUGGCCUAUAGCCCUCGAACUAGUAGCCAUUGAUAGACCUCUCCUCCAUUAAGUUAUCCAAACCCCUCUUAAAGCCAUCCAGGUUGUUGGUUGUCACCACAUCUUGUGGCAGAGAAUUCCACAAGUUGAUUAUGCAUUGUGUGAAAAAGUACUUCCAUUUGCUGAUCCGAAAUGUUCUCCACACACAAAAAUUCUCCCUCCACCGCCUGGGCCGACCUGUUUCUCCCCAGUACUUCUCCUCUCCCCACUCCCCCGCAUCACAAAGACUGGCAGCUCUCUCUCUCUCUCUCUGCCAAAGUGAGGUUUCUCCCCUGCCUGCUGCCGCCACCGGCGCCGUUAGCAGAAACAGGGGGAGGGAAGGGUUAAUCAUGAUUCCUCUUGCUUGCCUGCCGGCCUGUGUCUCCUUGUGGCACCAGCUGCAGCCACCUAAUUGGCUCUCCUGGAGUUCCUUCCUCCUCCCCUUGAUGUUUUGAACACAUAGCAGAGCAAGCCCGCCAGGAGGGAAAGCUGAGCUCCGUCUCAAAGCAAAGCUCGCUGUUGAGGAGCCAGGCAGUGCUGAUGCACCACCAUACCUGACGUGGUCACUGACAAAAGAUCCUGGCAAAUGGCUGAGGCUGAUGAAACAAACCCCGCCUCACAUCGUUGGAGGGUUGAUUAUGACAUGCUGAGAAGCUAUACACAUCAACUCAUGGCUCUUUCAGAUUUAAUGGAGUUUAUGGUCAGCUCAGAAGCAGAAUACAGACGCCGGCUUAGAAUUAUCGCAGAGUGUAGAGCAGACAUUGAAAAAUGGUUUGCAGGCACUCUUGAUAGGACUCCUGAUAUGAUCUCCAAUUUUGUGAAUGAAAUUAACCCACAACGAGGGCCAUCAACCACACAAUGAGGAGGCAGGAUGAAUAAGUGUAGGGCCCAAGAGCCACCCGCUGCUGCUACUUUAGAAACCCAUCCCAUAGCAUCUGGUGAUAAUCCUACAGAAAUGUCUCAAAAAAACCAAUUUGCUGAUCCACAGGGGGUUGCUGAACAGUUGGAUAUGAAAUCAGGUCCAUCUACAGAGACACUUUUCCGUUGUUGAAUCCUGCUAUGGGUUCUCAGUCAGUUCUGAAGAAUCUCACACUGAUAUGACUUCACAUGUAUACCUAGACGCCCAGAUUCGAAGAGGGGUAUCCUCUGUAAUAGUAUCCCAGCUGUGUGGGCAAAGUUCCACUUCCCACUCCCCUGGAAGAUCCAAAGAGGGUCUUCACUGUGAACUUGUUAAUAGCAGUAUAUGGGGUUGAGAGAUAACAGACCUGAUCAAUCAUAUUCUGAUUGAUUAAAUCCUAUUCUUCACAAUAUGAGUGAAGAAUGAACUAGUGUUUUAAACCAGUUUAAAAAUGAACCCAGGUACAGGCAUUCACACCCACAUGUGUACACUUGUACAGCAUAAUGUCUGAAUCGGGCUAAAGAAGGCCAAGGAACGACUAGCGGAUUUGAGGAGAUGGUAUAGAUCUGAUCAAUAAGCAGGAACAUGGAGGAAACCUUUUCCAAGUGUAUUCUCCACUUUAGAAGGGAAAUGCCUAUCAUGGCAGCAUGCUGUAAAAGAGACUCCAUUUGGGAAUAUUUUAAUGAAGUUCCUGUAUCUGUGGGUAAGACAGGCAUAUGUGCAAAAAUGCAAACCGUGCAAUAAAGAAAUGCAGGGCCUGGUUCCCGAAUGGAACAGCAUUAUGAGUAGCAUGUAUCUACUAUGCUAAGCAUCAUUAGGAAGGGGACUUCUAAAAAUGAAAUCUACAUCUCUUAAUAUGUAUUAAAGUUGUAUUAGAAAACAAGAAUGUAAUGUUACUAGAAAAUGAUGAUUAAAUAGAAUCUUCUUGACAUGAUUUAAAUAAUUAAAA
Hemicordylus capensis (graceful crag lizard) is the source of this 2024-nucleotide long non-coding RNA. RefSeq lists it as uncharacterized. Lineage: Eukaryota; Metazoa; Chordata; Lepidosauria; Squamata; Cordylidae. The record is from RefSeq and is a predicted model, not a curated record. The transcript is spliced from 2 exons.